This is a long non-coding RNA of Capsicum annuum, 3457 nucleotides long. RefSeq lists it as uncharacterized. Lineage: Eukaryota; Viridiplantae; Streptophyta; Magnoliopsida; Solanales; Solanaceae. The transcript has 3 exons. The record is from RefSeq and is a predicted model, not a curated record.
GUCAUAGCCGCAUCUUUCAUUUGACUUUCGUUAGUCAUUUUUCCUGUCACCACAAGACAAUAAUAUUUAGUAUUUUCAAAAUACUACUUAUAAAGUUAAGCAACUUUAAGUUUUUCUUCUUGUUUCUAGUUAACAAUGAAGUUUUAAUGACUUUCAAUUAUCAAUCGAGUGAAUUUUAAACUUGUGAUAAGGAUUUUAUGCCUUUUAAUCACUAGUUAAAUUCAAACGGAGUAGAAGGCUUAAAGCUUUAAUCUCCAAAAACAAGUAAUACAGAUUCUGAAUUUAUUCCUUAAGAUUGUUAUUUUCCUUCUACGGGUACUAGAAUCUGUAUUAAUACAACAACAACUUCAUAACAAGUUCACGUAUGAACAAGAACAAUUUUGAAGUUCUUUAACACCUUUAACACAAGAUUAUUACUAAUCUACCCAAGAAGUGUAUUAGAUAUCAGAAAAUAGAUGAAACAGAAAUUUUAGACCAAGUCCCCCGAGUUCACGGAGUGUUCUUAAGGAAUAAUUCCCCUCACUGUACGCGAGGUUAUGGAAUCUUCCUCCCGGGAUAAAAUGGUCUUCAAUCCAAUUAUAGCGGUACCUCAAAUAAUUGAAUUCCACGAACGCACUCAACGGUUCAAAUGAUCACACAGAAUAUUUUUAAGAGAAGAAGAGUUUUGUAUUUUGAAACAUUUUGUAUAUCAAACCUGUGGAUCAAAGCAGAUUUAUAUAGCCAUAACAUGUCUCUUCUGAAAAGUGGCAAUGACUCACUUUAGAGGUGUGCCUUUUCUGAAAAUUCAUGUCUGUUCAUCCAAAGGCUGUGUCUUUCAUAAUAGACCUACCAUUUCACGUGAAACAGUGUGUCAUUUCGUUGAAGGGUUGCAUCCCUUUCGAAACAGCACUUCGUUUCUGCAUGGCAUUUCAAAACAAUGCACCAGUUCAGAAAAACAGUGCAUCAGUUCACUGCAUCUGUUACUGCAUGCAUGUAUAAAUGGAGUAUCAGAUACUGCUUUAAUUCUGUUAAAUAAACUUUGUCCAAAAAAAUAGAUCUCAUCAAUCAUUUGACAAAUCCAAAUCCAAAUUUUGAAGUUAAAACCGAGCCAAGCAACGGUGACAACGCAAAACAUCUCUUAUUUCUUGCCUCACUUAACAUGUGGAAAUAUGUUUCAUAAUAUAAACACUUUAAAGCUUUUUUCUCCCACCAAUGUGGGAGAAUUUUAGUAAGUUUUCCUAUUUUGAGCACACUUUCCAUUUUGGUGUAAACUCAAUUUUCUCUUCCACUUAAUUCCCUCCAUUUUCCAUUCAAAACACACACAUAGAACCCAACAAAGAGUUGGAAAAGGACACAUUUUUGCACUUCUCAACUUUUAUCAAAAGCUUGCAUUCACCAAGUUUAAGAAUGUACCACUUAUGUUAUCCUGCAAGACCAAACGAGAGCAUAUUUGAUGCUUUCUCUGUAUCGAUACCUAAGGGAACAACGACAACUCUAGUAGGGAGAAGUGGAAGUACAAAAUCGACUGUGAUCGGUCUAAUAGUGAGGUUCUACGAUCCACAGGCUGGUGAAGUUCUAAUUGAUGGUAUAAAUAUCAAAAAAAUUUAGCUUAGGUGGAUCAGGGGGGAAAUCGGCCUUGUUAGCCAGGAACUUGUGUUAUUUGGUUCGACGAUAAAGGAUAAUAUUGCCUAUGGGAAGAAUGAUGCAACUCUUGAAGAAAUUAAAGAUGCAGUUCAACUUGCCAAUGCAUCCAAGUUCAUUGAUAAAUUGCCACAGGGAUUCAACACUAGAGUUGGCGAUCAUAGAAGUCAGUUAUCCGGAGGCCAAAAAAAAAGAAUUGUUAUUACAAGAGUUAUACUGAAGGCCCCAACAUUCUACUUCUAGAUGAAGCUACAAGUGCUCUUGAUGCGAAUCCGAAAGGAUUGUUCAAGAGACAUUGGAUAGUGUCAUGAUCAAUCGAACUACAGUAAUUGUUACACAUCGCUUGAGUACAGUUAGGAAUGCAAAUACAAUUGUACAAAAAAAAUGUGAAGUUCCAGUUAGAGCUGGAAUAAAAGAAGGGCUAUUGGGUGGUGCAGGUUAUGGUUUUCAAUAUUAUGCUUGUACUCUGUCUAUACUAUCAGCUUUUACGCUGGUGCUCAGUUGGUUGAGUCCGGUAAGGUCACAUUUGCUGAGGCAUUUCGGGUAAGUCUCGAGAGCUAAAGAUAAAGCUUGUGUCAAGACUCUCGUUACAAGUUCCUUCUCUGUCGUUUCAAUUUUCCUAGUUUUGGAUUUCAGAUUUUCUAUGGUGUUAGCUUGACAGCUACCGUGAUUUCUCAAUCAGGAGGCCUUGUUCCUGACUCCACCGAAGCCAAAACUGGUGCCUCUUCAAUCGUUGCACUCUUUGACCGACAAUCCAAGAUAGAUUCGAGCAAUAACUCAGGAAUGACAUUAGUGCUUAUUCAAGUAAGUUUUUCUUGUAGAAACUAUACGAGGAUGCGAGUCAAGUUGCUAGUGAAGCAGUUGGAAGUAUCAGAACAGUGGUUUCUUUCUCUACAGAAGAGAAGGUGGUGCAAUUGUACAAAAGAAAAUGUGAAGGUCCAGUUAGAGCUGGAAUAAAAGAAGGGCUAUUGAGUUCUGCACGCUUUGGUUUUUCAAUGUUCUGCUGGUACUAUGCUUAUGCUGUCAGCUUUUAUGCUGGUGCUAGGUUGAUUGAGUCCGGUGAGGUCACAUUUGCUGAGGUUCUUCAGGUUUUCUAUGGCCUCGUCUUUACAGUUAACACGCUUUAUCGAUCAAUCGACCUUGUUCCUGACUCCACCAAAGCCAAAACUGGUGCAUCUUCUAUUUUUGCUCUUCUUGACAGGAAAUCCAAGAUAGACUCGAGUGAUAACUCGAGAAUGACAUUGGACAAUCUGAAGGAAAACAUUGAGUUUCAAUUAUCCAAGUCGACCUUGAUAAAGAAAUAGACAUUGGGCCUAACUCAACUAGCUCAUGAGGGUAGGAUUGCUCAAAGACCAUAUGAGAAACCAAGGAGCCUGUAACCCACCGAUGUGGGACUCUAACACCCCCACACAUCCAAGACUGGACAUCUGGAGCGUGAACAAUAUAAGACGGGGGGCCCAACAUUGAAAACAAUGAGCUGGAUGGGCGUGGCUUUGAUACCAUGAUAAAGAAAUGGACAUUGGGUCUAACUCAACCUCAAAAGCUAGCUCAUGAGGAGAGGAUUGCCCAAGAUCAUAUAAGGAGACCAAGAACCCUUUGACCCACCGAUGUGGGACUCCAACAGACCUGAGGCUCAAGUCCUAAAAGAUCUAUGCCUUGCCAUUAGCUCUGGUCAGGUAAAUAAUAUUCUAUUUACCGCCAUAAUCAUUUUGUGGUCUUAAAACAUAAUUUAUCAACGAUUCUGAUGUAGAAUAUAUGUUUAUGCUGCUCUGGUGGGAGAGAGUGGGAGAGGAAAAUCAACAGCUAUUUCAUUGUUGCAAAGAUUUUACGAUCUGGA